Molecule: transfer RNA, 55 nt
Filed under: Aristelliger lar (spotted Caribbean gecko)
Lineage: Eukaryota; Metazoa; Chordata; Lepidosauria; Squamata; Sphaerodactylidae
Description: partial tRNA-Trp
Source: RNAcentral
AGAAACUUAGGUUAAUAUACCAAACCAAGGACCUUCAAAGCCCUAAAUAUGAGCC